GGGGAUAUAGCUCAGCAUCACAGUGUCUGCUUGGCAAGUGCAAGGUCAUGAGUUCAAUUCUCAGUACCCCCC
RNAcentral lists this transfer RNA (72 nucleotides) under Cavia porcellus (domestic guinea pig). It matches the Rfam family "tRNA". From Rfam's summary of the family: Transfer RNA (tRNA) molecules are approximately 80 nucleotides in length. Their secondary structure includes four short double-helical elements and three loops (D, anti-codon, and T loops). The record is from Rfam by way of RNAcentral. Lineage: Eukaryota; Metazoa; Chordata; Mammalia; Rodentia; Caviidae.